This 492-nucleotide ribosomal RNA is filed under the name uncultured bacterium. RNAcentral describes it as "partial 16S ribosomal RNA". It matches the Rfam family "Bacterial small subunit ribosomal RNA", at positions 29 to 507 of the family's 1533-position model. The record is from RNAcentral.
AGUGAACGCUGGCGGUAGGCCUAACACAUGCAAGUCGAACGGCAGCACAGUAAGAGCUUGCUCUUACGGGUGGCGAGUGGCGGACGGGUGAGGAAUACAUCGGAAUCUACUUUUUCGUGGGGGAUAACGUAGGGAAACUUACGCUAAUACCGCAUACGACCUACGGGUGAAAGCAGGGGAUCUUCGGACCUUGCGCGAUUGACUGAGCCGAUGUCGGAUUGGCUAGUUGGCGGGGUAAAGGCCCACCAAGGCGACGAUCCGUAGCUGGUCUGAGAGGAUGAACAGCCACACUGGAACUGAGACACGGUCCAGACUCCUACGGGAGGCAGCAGUGGGGAAUAUUGGACAAUGGGCGCAAGCCUGAUCCAGCCAUACCGCGUGGGUGAAGAAGGCCUUCGGGUUGUAAAGCCCUUUUGUUGGGAAAGAAAAGCAGCAGGUUAAUACCCCGCUGUUCUGACGGUACCCAAAGAAUAAGCACCGGCUAACUUCGUG